RNAcentral lists this long non-coding RNA (1411 nucleotides) under Brassica rapa (field mustard). RNAcentral describes it as "long non-coding RNA (BRAP_LNC006232)". The record is from RNAcentral. Lineage: Eukaryota; Viridiplantae; Streptophyta; Magnoliopsida; Brassicales; Brassicaceae.
UUCUUGGCCCUUUUGUUUCUGCUGCUCUCAGGCGAAUCUGGAAUGUUAAUCAUGUGUCUGAUCGACCUCGUAGGUGUCUGGGUCUGAACCACUUGACUCACAGGCAAAUAUUGAUCGCUGAUCCUAUGUUCUUGGGUUGUACUCGCAGGCCAGUGACUUUGAGUGUUACUGAAAAGUUCUGUUGGCAAAGGAAGAUCCUCUCCGAAUGUGUUUGACGUAGAAGAUGGCCCACUUUGAAACACAUCUUGAUUCUUGUCCUGUCUCGCCAUCGCAGACCCUGCCAGAGAUUGCUCCGGUUGAUCAAGCAUCUGAAAGAAGAUGCUCCUCUCCACCGCAGACCAAUCUUGAUACUCUCCGAGAGAAGCUUGAACCGACGUUGACUGAGCUAGAGAUUGCUCUGUUGGCUGAAGCAUUUGGUUGUUGUCCUCAUCGAACAAGAAGUCUCCAAAUAUGUUUGACGUAGAAGAUGAUGACUCUCUUUGAAGCCAAUCUUCUUGACGGACGUUGUUGUUUAUCCACGACGGUUCUUGAACACUAACGUUUCCUUCCGUUGCCGCAGGCCAUUCUUGAGUGCCAAAGACCUCAUCAAUUGACCAUGAUGGUACUAGAGAUCUCUCGAGUUGAUGAAGCACUUGAUCCUGAUCGUCGUUGCUCUUGUCCAUCACGUUCGAAUCUUGAUUCUUUUCAGGCGAAUCUUCAAUGUUAGUGACAUCUUUAUCCGAAGUUGACGCCGGAGCUGGAGAUUGCUGCAUUUGCUCAAGCAUUAGACUGAUGUUGUAACGUGAAAGGGGGAAGAAUGCUUCAUCUUCAAAUAUGUUUGACGUAGAAGAAGAUGACUCUCUUGGAAGCCAAUCUUGAUAGUUAUCGUAUCUCCACGACGGUUCUUGAACACUAUCGUUUUCUUCCGUUGCCAUAAGCCAUUCUUCAAGGGAAGAGAGCUCAUCAACUGAACAUGAUGGUGGUGGUACUAGAGGUUUCUCGGUUUGAUGGAGAACCAGACUCGAAUCUUGAUUCUUUUCAGGCGAGUCUUCAAUGAUAAUGACAUCUUUAACCGACGUUGAAGCCGGAGCUGGAGGUUGCUCUUUUUGCUGAAGCGCUCGACGGAGGUCGUGACGUAGACGUGAACGGCAGAAGUAUAACUCGAGACGUGAUUUGUUGAAGAUCUUGCAUUGCGUGAGAGUGAGAGAGUCUCGAUCUGCCAAUAGAAUCUUGCCUUUGAAGAAAAUGGUUUGGUUGGAAACAGAGAUGCGUUUGGUCUUUUCGAUCUUUUGUUUCAUCUCUAGAACUGUGUUUGAGGGAUCUAGUUCAAUGGAGAAUAGCAUGACUUUCCUGUGGUAGAAGAACAACUUCAUAACUGUUUCAAUGGUGGAGACUGGUGAAGAAGAGAGUAAAGAGCGGGAGAGCGAAUGCG